This 425-nucleotide ribosomal RNA is filed under the name uncultured bacterium. RNAcentral describes it as "bacterial SSU rRNA". It matches the Rfam family "Bacterial small subunit ribosomal RNA", at positions 354 to 796 of the family's 1533-position model. The record is from RNAcentral.
GUAGGGAAUUUUCGGCAAUGGGCGAAAGCCUGACCGAGCAACGCCGCGUGAGGGAAGAAGGUCUUCGGAUCGUAAACCUUUGUCUUCGGGGAAGAUAAUGACGGUACCCGAGGAGGAAGCCACGGCUAACUACGUGCCAGCAGCCGCGGUAAUACGUAGGUGGCAAGCGUUGUCCGGAAUUACUGGGCGUAAAGGGCGUGUAGGCGGUCUAUCAAGUCAGGCGUGAAAAUUCAAGGCUUAACCAUGAAACUGCGUUUGAAACUGAUAGACUUGAGGAUCGGAGAGGGCAGUGGAAUUCCCAGUGUAGCGGUGAAAUGCGUAGAUAUUGGGAAGAACACCAGUGGCGAAGGCGGCUGCCUGGACGACACCUGACGCUGAGGCGCGAAAGCUAGGGGAGCAAACGGGAUUAGAAACCCCGGUAGUCC